CUGAGCUUUGAGACCAGGCAAACGGUUUUAGUGCCGGCUGUGACUCUCACUAGCCCUGUACUCUUGUUGAGACUCCUUUUCCCUUUACUGUUAGAAUGAGAAACUCAAGGAAAUGAUUCACAUAAAUGACUUAGCACAACGCUGGUACACCCCAGGAUCUACUAUGCUCUAGUGAGUCACUGAAUAAAGAAAGCGAAAUCAGGAACUUUAGUCUUAAGGGAAGAAACGAUGAACUUUCUAAUGUAAAUUGUCUGGUGAGAGACUGAAGAGCUUCUAGAACAAAUGAAGACUAUCCUUAUUUCUACUUGUAAAAACAAAUUCUCUCUUUUCAUAGUAGAAAUGUCCUUGGAUAAAACCAUGAAAGAGACUUGAUUGGGAUGUUUAUUAUUCUGCCUUCUUCUCACUUAGUUGUUAAAUGUGAACUAAGAUUCCUCAAAUAGCCUUCAGUAAAGCCUAUGUUAGUAGAUUAUGAUAUGGAUUGUUGACGAGAUAUGUUAGUCUGGAAUGGUGUGUUGCAAACUCUUUAGGACCCAGUGAGUCUAUGGACAAAGUAUGGACAAAAUUUGGACAGCUUCUGUCCAGGUAAAUGUGACUAAACUAAAUGGAACCUUUGUAGAACCAAGGAAAUAAGAAAAUACUUGCAUGUGGGAACUCAUUGGCUCACAUGCCUGAAAUCUGAGUCAGACUUCCCUUGAUGCUAGCGUUAUGGAAGAAGAAUUUCCUCCCCCCUAUCCAUCCCAGGGCCAGAUUUAUUAUUUAUUACUACUUCUUUCCAUUUUUAGCUUCCUUUGUCAUGCGAAGGUAGUCAUAAGGGAAUUCCAUAUUUUGCUAUUUUGAGUAGAUUUCAAAGUCAAAAAAAUGAUGGCAGUUUGGCCUUUAAUAUAAUGGUCCUUUCUAGAAUUACAUAAACUCAAUACUAACUUCUACUUCCUGAAAUUGCUCUUUCUCCCUGUUCACUGUUCACUCAUUGGACAAACAUUGAUUCGCAGGAAUCACAGAGUGAACAAGACCAAAACAGUCCUUGUUUCAUUGUAAGUUACAGGGUUGGUCCUAGAUUCAGAUUCUAUGCGACAUCCUUUAGCCUUGCCUUUCUAGAAGAGGGUACAUUCUCAAAUGGAUUUGUUUGCACAGUUGCAGUACCUUUGCCAGCAACUCCUGGAACAAACUUCUUGCUUGAAUUAACAUCCAGGUAGACACUGGAACCAUUCAUUCCCCCAUAACUCCAAUACGGGACCUGGAACUGAGCUCUCUUGAUCCCAGUUGGUCUGACAGGUCAUGGGCCAGCUCCUAACCCAUGAUCCAGAGCCAUAAGACAUGUGGUGUGUUUAAACCAACCAGAGCUCCUUCUUACAACCGGUCAGAGGCUGUUGCAUAGAACGGAUGCUAUAAGGAAUGAGAUACGUCUACUCAAAUCCCUGUCCUUGCAGAGUCGGUAGUCUCUGAAGAGCUGGCAGGAUAAUGGGACGUCGCAUACACAUGAAUCAUUUUUGAGAGAUGAGGUUAACAAGUGUGUAGCCCUGGGAAUCUUCCCAUAGCAACAGGAUGCAGGCUGAACAUUCUGUUAGAAACCACCACUGAGCAGCCACCAUAUGCUCCAAACCGCCGGCCUCUGGCAAUGAUUUAGAGGUGAAACCUUUUGUGUCCAAUUAGCUUCCACUUUGAUUCAUGCCAUGCCUGAGAAUUCAUCUGGAUUUAUAAAGUUCAGGAUUUUCGAUAAAUUUGACAAGAGCUGCUGAAAGUUAAAAUGUUUGCAAGGAUGUUCAUUUCUUGAUUAAUCACAAUAUAAUUUUCCCCACGUAGAGCUGGCUAGAAAAAAACUGAAAAUCGGAGACUCAGUCCAAGCCUCAUUUUAGCAGAAAUAUUCCCUCUUCACCUUGCUUUCUACUUUGAGUGUGCAGGGUUUGGUUCUAGCUUCACAUGUAAUACCUCAUCAUCCAUCUAAUGGUCUGAGUUAGUGCUCUCAACCUAGGCUGUGCAAUGGAACCACUCAGGUGGUGUUGGGAAACAGCAAUGCCUGGGUCUCCACAGGUUCUGUUGUCAUGGGACCAGGGUGCAGCGAAGGGUAAGAAUCUGUGCUUAAGUAGAACCUUAGGAGAGAUGAUGUAUCUCCUAGGAAAUGCAUCCAACUUGUGCACACAACACAACUCAGUUAAAUUCUGCAGCCUGAUCGGUUCGGAAACAAUUAAGGUCACUUCAGGAUCAAAUUAAAUUCAGAAAUAAGAAGGAAAGUUCUCCACAUCAACAGCCAGCUGCCUAUCUGUGCAUGCUUUUGCCCCCACCUCGUACACAUCUCCCACGUCUCUGCUGCCACCACCUGGUCGAAUUCACCUUUUCCCUGGGCUUCCAAGCUAUAAAAACAGGAGCUUUCCAGACUGCUGCCUGUCCACUCACCAGCCUUCACCAUGCUGCAACCAUUCUGACCUUUCUUUUCCAACUCAGGACUUCUAGCCGUAUUGCUCUCUCUGCCUAAAUGUUCUAACACAUGGCCUCUUCCCACUGCACACACCAACACUCUCUGCCUUCCUCACUCUACUCGUUGGUCUGGGCUUAGCUUACAUGUCACUUUCUCAGAGUUUCUCCCUGACCCAUAAUCUAAAUAGAGCCUCCUGUUUUAUACUCUCUUGCAUGCCUUUUUUUAAAUUUUUAUUUUAUUUGAAAAUGAGAGGUAGAGAGAGAGAAAGAAUGAGAGGGAAAGAAGGAGAUGGAAAAAAAACGAGAGAUCUUUCAUCCACUGGUUCAUUCCCCAAACGCUCACAACAGCUGGAGUGGGCCAGGUAGAAGCCAGGAGCCCAGAACCCAACACUUGAACCUGCUAUUUCCCAGCAUGCACCUUAGCAGGAAGCUAGAACCAGAAACAGAGCUGAGACUAAAGCCCAGGCACUCUGACAUGGGCUGCAGGCAAGCAGCAUCUUAACUGCUGUACCAAACACACUAGAGAGGAGUUGUUGGUACAAUAUCUGGCUCCCCUUUCUAACUAUCAGCUUCCUGAAGGCAAGAACAAUUCUGUUUUGCUCAUUCAUGUAUACCCUAGCACCCAGCUUACAUCUGUCCCGUAGUCUGUGUUCAAUACUAACUCGGUGUAAAUGAAAGGAGUGUGUUCUGCUGGACCACUUACGUACACUGAGGAACACCAUAGAAAUAGCUCCCAAAGCAUAGAGUCAUCUACCUAGGAUGAAGUUAGAACCCUGUUCUCUGCGUUAUGUACAUGUUCUCAUCAUAAAUUCACAGUUUUUCCCACAGUCUCAAUUCUAGGAGUAUUUAUGUUUUUCUUGAGUACCAGUUGGUGUUUUGCCACUGUAUGCCAUAAAUCACUAGAUGCUUGGUCCUGUGAUUCUAUAAAUCAUUAACCAAGUAGGCCUCCCUCUUUGUUCUGAUUGAUGAAAAAGCUCAGAGCCAAGUCCAUGGCUCUAACCAACCCCAGUCACUGACCUGACCAGAAAAGACCCUUCAUGAGUCAACACCACUCCAGCUCCACCUCACCAAUGCAGGCCUCAUUUUCCCUCUUAGUAUAUGAACAAACAUAUAUAUGAGCAAACAUACAAACAUACAUAUAUGUGAGCCCUGACCAAGAAAAUAGAUAAUGAAUUCGUUCAGGAAAAGAGAAAAAACAUCUCUGUGAUGAGUUGUGCUUCAGGGGAGGGGAUAAAUAGCACCUCCUUCCCUGGCGUGCACAAGGAAACAAGAGUUAAACAGAAAAAGAGCAGAAAGGGCUAGGGCACAAGGACAACAGUGGCUUCCACUCAUGGCAAAGACAUCCAAAUGCAAAGGCCUUCGGGAGUGGGAGUGCACAGAGUGUCUGCCUCUAAGAUGCCGCAAUCUCUCUGCAUACAGAUGCCAAAGAUUAAAGGUUGAGCUAUGUGAGCCCCUUUCACUGCCCCCACAUUUACCUAUCAGAUAAUUUCUUCUGCUCCCCCCAGGAACGAGCAGGCCAAAGAGGGUUAGCCCUACCUAAGUGAUGCCCUUCACAAGGAAGCAUUAAAUCAUGGCAAAGGAUGUCCUCUCCCUCUAAAUAUCGCUGCCAUCGUCACGUUUAUUUGAGCUCCUAAGCAAGUAUUUUAUACCACCGUACUAGCUCCUUGUUACUGCUGAAACAAAUUACCACAAACGUACAACCUUUCAGUUCUGGAAGCCGGAAGUGCAAAGAUGUCUCCUGGCUAGGCCAAGAUGCAGGGGCCAGCAGAUCUGCGUUCCUGCAGGGUGGGAGAAGGCCCAUGCCAGGCUUUGCCAGUUUCUGCUGCCCGUGUUCCCUCUGCAUCACUCCCAUCUCUGUUUCUAUUCUGAUCUCGUCUUCUCUGAGUCUCCCGCCUCCCUCAUUCUCUUAGGGUGCCCUUGGGAUUCCAUUAAGCUCCCCAGGUAAUCCAGGAUCUUCUCCCAAACCCCAAAUCCUUAACUCAGCUGCACCUGACGAUUAAGCCCCUUUAGCCAUAUAAGGUAAUAUAUAGACCACUUUCAGGAAUUGGGAGGGGGUGCCUCUAGGGAACCCUUAUCCUAGCUAAUAAUUAGGUAAAUAAUUCUCAAGUUAUUAAUUGGAAGUCUGUGGCUAUGUCAAGGUAUGAAUUUGGGAUUUGAUUAAAAUCAUAUCAAAGAACUCUUCACAGUACAGGAGUACCACCCAAACUAGGUCAUGAACUCAAACAGCUGAGCCCAAGGUUGUGACAUAUGACAUUUUUCACCCCGGGAAAAGAGCUGAGAUAUGGUUCCAAAAGCUGAUUGACACCCUCAGGGAAACCUCACUGCCUCCUGUCAACAGCUAUUUGGGAAGGGAUUUGGGGAAAAUUUUUCUGACUCUCCUACUAGCUCUCAAAUUUUUUAAUAUACUAAUUAUUCUUCUGCUUUCCUUACUGGUUUCUUUAGGUUUGUAAUUUUUUUUCUUUUGCUUUGAUAUUUUAUCUAUUUUUUAAUUGACACAAAAUUAUUACAUGUUUAUGGGGUACAGAGUGUGAUAAUUCAGUACAUGUAUACAAUGCAUAAUUAUCAAAUCAGGGUAACCAGAGGCUAGCACAUUGGCAGAGCAGGUAGAGCCGCCACCUGCAGUUCUGGCGUCUCGUGUGGGCGCCGGUUUGAGUCCCGGUUGCUUCACUUCUGGUCCAGCUCUCCGAAUGGGAGACCAAGAGGAAGCACCUCGCUCCCGGCUUCAGAUUGGCGCAGUUCCAGCCAUAGUGACCAUUUGGGAUUGAACCAACAGAAGGAAGACCUUUCUCUCUGUCUCUCUCUCUCUCACUGUCUAUAACUCUACCUGUCAAAAAAUGUUUUAAAAAGUGGUGUAUUAAAGGUGGUGUAUUAAAGUCUUAAAAAAAAAAAAGAAAACCAGAACCAAUUGAUCUUGAAGAGUAGAAUAGUGAUUACUGGAGGCUAGAAAGGGCCAGCAGGAAUGUGUAGAGGGAGGUUGGCUAACAGGCACCAAAACACAGCAGGAGAGGAGGCACAGGUCUGGCGUUCCACAGCACAGACGCAUAACUGCAGGUCACCAUAACCCUCCCUUGCUUUUCUUAUAAACUCUGAAAGGUCACGGUCUCUAUCACUCUCAAGGUGAAUGCCCUUCAGAGUCCAGGGUCCUGUACCACAAAAGGUCACUCAGUAGCUACAUAUUUGCUAUUAAACGUAGCCCCAGGCUGUCAUCGGCCAGCAUGUUCCACCCAUAGCCCCAUCUGGCAAAGCACACUUCCCUGAGUACCUUGAAUGCCGUAGUGCUUAGAUAAUACUGAAGUCAUAUUUUUUUAGUACUUUCUUUUCUUCCUUUAGGCCACAUGUCCUUUUUGACUGUCUCUACUACCCUCCAGAAUUUCCACUUUGAGAUGGGGAUCCACUUUCCGACGUGUAGGGUUAUAACUCCUUCUGAGAUCAUAGGAUUGAAAACCUUACAAAAAACACACCUUGCAAAGGGCUGGGAGACUUGGUCCUUUUAAGACACAGUCUAAAAAAAUGAAACUUUUGCCAUGCACGGAAGGGUCAAACCACCUGAGAGUUGUUUUUUUAAAGUCUGGAUUUGUCUCAGGAGGCACCAUCGGUGUUCAUUUACCCUCAGUAGUUCUUUUUGUAGGUCUAGAAUAAAAUGAGCAGACGUGUUGUGCUGUUUUUCUCUCUGCUUGUUGGCAGGGAAGUCGGUUUGGAAGCCCAGUGGCUGCAGUGCCCGUGCUGAGUCCUCCAGUGCUGCCCCACAUGGUGGUAGCUAGAAUGAUGGUGGAGCCAGUCCCUGGAAGAGGUUGGGGUUAAGGGCUUGGGCUGCUUCCUCCCAGCCCUGAAACUGAAAACUCCAAUGGUUGCUUUACAUCACCCCAGACCGGCUCAGAGCUACUUCGUCUGGAAAGAAGCCAAAUACUCCAUCACUGUCUACCUUGGAGCAUGCCCAAGCCAUGGGCUCAGUAGCCUUCCUUGUUUUCUAGAAUUGAUUGGUUUCGAUUCAACAACUGUGUGUCCUGGCGUCCACACCAGAAAGUAUCACCAGGACCUUCUGCUGUGACUUCCUGAGUGCUGGGAAAGCUGUAAGAGCCCACUCACUCCCUCUGGCCUCCCAGACGCUCCUGCUGCAGGCUUCGCAACCUGCUGUGGUCGCCUUUGAAAUGCUUGCCCUCCUGGAGGCCGGGAAGGGGGAGGCGCUCACGUCAGCUCUCCAUGCAUCCAGCCAAGACCCAUUGAUUGAGUAUGGUGGGCCUCCAGCUUGUCUUUGCCUGUAAGGAGCUCACAGUCCAGUUAUCAACCCUCCGUAGUACUUCAGGGUGUGAGGAGGGAGGAAGGGACAGGAAAGCAGGGUACUAACAACCAAAGCCAAAGAGGGGAACAUAGGGCAAGGGGAGCUCACACAGAGGAGAUAAGUUCGUCCAACUUGGGCUGCUCUUAAUGUGAGUACUGCAGUGGACAGAUGGGUGGACAGCAAGUGUAGCUACUUCUGCAGGUCCAAAAGCACAUUUUAAAGUUAGGUCAUAGACCUUCAUAUAGGCACUCAGAAAUCCCCAUAUUGGGUUUUUAUGGUGGUCCAAGCCACAGAAUAUAAUCUAUUGAAGACCUGCCCACACCGCUUGCCUCUCUGUGUUCUAAGACCCCCAAAUCUGGGUCCACUCAUCCAGCUUCCAACAAGCCCAUCAUCAUGCACAUUGGGAUCGUGGAAGAAAGUGGGCAUUUAUUUGCAGAGCACAGAGUAAGCAGUCAGGUUGCCAUGGCUUAAUUCCCAGGCUCCCCAAGGUGCUGGGGGUUCAGGGUUCUUACAGAUUGUUCCGCCCAUGCACAGGUCUCUGCUGGUCUGCAGGGCCCUUGGUCUUCCUUGGAGGACUCAGUGGUAUCAGGUUCAAGUUCUUUAGGGAAUUUUGAUGGUGGCAAAGUGGGCCUCAGUCAGUCUCAGGGCUACAUGCAGGUGGUAUCAACUUUUUUCUUGGGACCUGGGGUUCCUGGAAAAAACCCUCAAGACAAGGCCCAAAUCAAGGUGUUAUCUAUAGGGCAAAGAAAUGGUCUCCUGAGUCUUGUGAUCAGGACCCCUGGAGGAUUCGCUGCUCUACUCCCUCAAUUUGAUGAGUUUAGAGUAAGAGGUUCAGUUGCAAGGAAGCAUUCGGCUAUGGAAAGCGGAUGCAGACAGCAGGAGACCGGGACCCGAUGGUAUCCAGAGUCCGCAUCAAAAACAGUGGUAUAGGGGUUCAGGUUCACUUCUGUACUAUUGCUCUCAGACUUUGAGGUCUGUGUCCCCGCCGUGAUGACCCAAGGGAAGCAGACUAAAUUUGCCAAGCCGAGCUUGCUUGUUUAUCAUUUCAACACUUUCGGCUCUUCCUGGCCACCAUCCCUUUUGUGACUCAAAUCCCCACUGCAGAAACCAACAGCCCAGUCUGGAGGCUUCUUCCACGGCACACGGUGUGGCUUUGCAGAACCUAGACUGGGCUCCCUCAUUUCUGAAGACCAGGAAGGGGUCUGCCCAGCCCGUUUCUGUUCUGUGUGUCUGGUGUGGAGCAUACUAUGAUAGGCAUGUGUGCACCACCUGAGGGCCCAAAGAAACCACACUUGGCGUGGGUAUUGUGGGGACACAGGGUAAGCCACCACCUGGGAUGCUCACAUCCCAUAUCAGAGUGCCUGGGAUCAAGUCCCACCUCUGCUUCCGAUCCGACACUUAGGGAGGCAGCAGGGAAUAGCCCAAGUACUUGGAUGCCCACGUGAGAGAUUCAGAUAGUCUUUGGAUCCUGGCUUCGGCUUGGCCCAGCCCUGGCUGUUGUGGCCAUUUGGAGAGUGAACAAGCAGAUAAAUCUCGUGCCAAAGGACAAAGAGGGGCAGGCACUUGGAGGAUGCUCAGGACAAGGGGGGUGGCUGUAACCAUUCUAAUUAAAGUGCAUCAUUGGUUUCUGUUGAUUUUAGUGGGGCCUGGGAAUCUGCAUUUCUAAUAAGCUUUGAGGUGGUGCCCUUGCUGCUGGGGCAAGGCUUACGUCCCUUCCUUUAAUGUUUUAAAGUUUAUUUAUUUUGUUUUAUUUGAAAGGGAGAGAGAGAGAGAGUGAGAGGGCAAGUGAGAGAGAGAGAAAGGGCUGGUGAAAAACAGAGAGGCCGGCGCCGCUGUAGCUCACUAGGCUAAUCCUCCGCCUGCGGCGCCGGCACACCGGGUUCUAGUCCUGGUCGGGUGCCAGAUUCUGUCCCGGUUGCCCCUCUUCCAGGCCAGCUCUCUGCUGUGGCCCGGGAGUGCAGUGGAGGAUGGCCCAGGUGCUUGGGCCCUGCACCCCAUGGGAGACCAGGAGAAGCACCUGGCUCCUGGCUUCAGAUGAGAGCGGUGCGCCAGCCAUAGCUCGCUGGCCGCAGCGGUCAUUGGGGGGUGAACCAACGGCAAAGGAAGACCUUUCUCUCUGUCUCUCUCUCUCACCGUCCACUCUGCCUGGAAAGAGAGAAAGAGAGAGAGAAAGAGAGAGAGAAAGAAAGAGAGAAAGAAAGAGAGAAAGUGGAGGUAAUGCUCCCAAGCUGUGCAAAACACCAAGAAGAUGGUCUUAAGAAGCAGUCCUGUGGUUUAUGAUUUGUAGCCCCCCACCCCAGCGUCUUUAUCUUUGGAGAAAGAUGAGAAUGGUUUCUAAGUUCUUUUGCUGAUUGUUGCUGUGUUUCCUUGACUGUGAAACUACCUUGUAGCUAUACCACCUGGCUCUCUGACUUCGCCCUAGAAGUGCACAGGAGUUCUGUGAGGUUAACUGGCCAAAACCUUGCAGAACACCAUCAGCGAAACCAAGAACAGCCAGAUAGAGGCUCGGAUUGUUCAUCCUGCCACCCAGUCGCCCCGGGUGCUGAACACUGCACAGGCAUCUUUCUGGCUUCGGGUAGCAAUGCAUGCUGCAGGUUCUGAGGGUAGAACGUGCCAGGUCACUCCUUGUUGGCUUUGAAGCUCUCCGUAGUAGGACUGGCUACUAUGCACCUUAUGUGGUAGAGGCUACCUUACACAUACUGAGAAAAAUUUUAAUAUCAAAAUUACCAGGGAAAGCUGGCCUAUUUAAUGUAGAAAGAGCCCAAGAUUUGUUUUAUCUCCAAUUGCCAUAUGUAUAACCUCCUUGGAUGAUCAUAAGUAACCACCAAAUAAUAAAAUUUCUGAGUAUAUUAAGUAAAAACUAAGGUUUCUCUUCUUUUUACCUGAAAAGAACCCAUUUUUGUUAACCUGAAAAAGAACUCCUGUUCUGAUUGUGUAUCUAAAAUGAGGAAAAAAUUUUAGGACUCUGAAUUACAAAAAGAGAGAUGAGUAAGUAUAAUCUCCAGACAGCAACCACACACAAAGGUAGGAAACAGAGAAGCAUCACUUAAUGUUCUGCAAAUUAUCUUGUAAUACUUUGGAAAAGAAGUUAUUACUGAGAGCAGAAGCCCACACUCUAAAUAUUCGCUUGGCUAGUUUAUCUCACUAUGCCUAGACUUUGUCAACAAAGGGCUAUAUUUAGAAUCAAUUUACUACUGCUGUCCUUACAGAUCAUAUACUGCUUUUGGUUUACCACUAAUAUGCUCUGGCAGAGCCAGCAAUCUCGAACACACAAUAGUUUCUCGGUACCUUUGCUAAAGAAGUAUAGCUAGAGCAUUAGUGGUCCAUCAUAAUUCUCUGAAAAAGAUGGGUUUCUCUGCAAUAUACAGUUUAUAAACCUCCACCGAGGCAGACCUAUUCAUCACACAGCCACUCGUAAAAAUGCAAGCCUGGUCCUACAGCCUAAAAUAAAUCUGGAUAAGCCCAAGACAACAGCGUCAGGGGUGGACCUGGAGGCACAGUGAAUGCUGAGUCCCGGGAGGUAACGUAGAUGACAUCUAACCCAUUCCAUGCAUAAUGGCCACGAAGGCAGCACAAAAGCCACCACUGCUGAACACCAGAUGGUGAUAGUUCUGGUUCCUUAAGUGUGCAUGAUGGCAACGUGUAGAAAAAUAAAAUGUUCAAUGCACAUUUUUUGAGCAAAACUUAGAAUCUCAUCGUCUGCUUAGAUUGGGUCUUCAAUGCUUUAUCAUGUUCGUCAUUUAAAAAAUUUUUAUUUUUUUUUUUGUUUUGAGAGAGACAGACGGACAGACAUAUUCCAUGUGCUGGUUCACUCCCCAGUGCCCACUGUGGCUGGCUUUGGGACAGGCGGAAGUCAAGAGCCAGGAACUCAGUCCUGGCCUGUCACGUGGGCGGCACAAACCCGAUUACUUGAGCCAUCACUACUGCCUUCCAGAGCUGCACUGGUGGGAAGCUGCAGCCAGGAACCAGAGUUAAGCACCAAACCCAGGGCCUCCGACAGGACAGUGGCACCUUGACCACCAGGCUAAACAUCCACCCUCAUUAUUCUCUCAACGGUCCCACUGUAACAGUGCUGUGUAACCGGUGCAAACCAGUCCCCGGUUGCUGAGCCCCAAGACUGUCUCCAAUGCUAGCGACUCUAAAUCCUUAGGUGACAAACAUUCCUCUGUGCAGAUGCUGUUGUACACUUGAGUGAUUAUUCCUUGGUAGGCAUUACAGAAAUAGGAUUGCUGAGUCGGAGAUGAAAAGUAAUUCACCUUUGUGCUUUGGAUACGAUUGCCAACUGGCUUUCCAGAAAUCCCCAGCCACUCUGCAUUUCCUUAAGCAGUGUGUGAACGCCCCAUCUUCAUGAGCCAUCAGCUUUGGUCACCAUUUCCUGCAUCCCUGCCAAGAUAACUGACCAAAGACUGUAUCUUCACUAGCCAAUGCUUGCUGACCUUUUACGUUUUUUCUUGUAAAUUGUCUAUAUUUUUCUCCUUAAAAAUUUUUUUUGAAAAGACAGAGAGGAUGAACUUCCAUUCCACUGGUUCACUCCCCAAGUGCCUAUAAAGCCCAGCUUGGGCAGGGCUGAAGCUGGGAACCAGGAACUCAGUUCAGGGCCUACACAUGGAACCCAGUGACUGGUGCCAUCACUGCCACCUUCCAGGGUCUGCGUGAACCGGCGUCAGGAGCCAGAGCCAGGAAUCAGACUCAAGGCUGUCUUAACCUUUGCAGUAAAUGCCUGCCCCUUCCUGUAUUUGCAUCUAGAUUAAUCACUAUUGAUUAGAAGCACACUUAUAUAUCAAAGAUAAUGAUGUCCUUUUUCAAAAAGAUUUAUUUAUUUUUAUUUAAAAGUCAGAGCUACAGAGAGAAAGAGAGAGGGAUUGAGAGAGAUCUUCCACCCACUCAUUCACUCCCCACAUGGCUGCAACAGCCAAGGCUGGGCCAGGCUGAGGCCAGGAACCAGGAGCUUCUUCUGGGUCUCCCAGAUGGGUGGCAGGGGCCCAGGCACUAGGGCCAUCCUCCACUGCUUUUCCCAGGCCAUUAGCUGGGAGCUGGACCAGAGAAGUGGAGCAGCCAGGACUCAAACCAGUGCCCAUGUGAGAUGCCAGCAUCACAGGUGGCAGCUUUACCUGCUAUACCACAAUGUCAGCCCCAAUAAUAAUGUUCUUUGACCCCCAAAUAGUGUUUCUACUUUUUCCCAAUACCCUUAACUUUCUUUCUUUUUUAAAAAGUCAAAUCUAUCUCUCAUUUUCUUUAUUGGCUUUUCUUAUCUUUGCGAUCAUAUUUUGAAGUCCUUUUUUGCUUACCAAUAGCAAUCAAUUGUCUGAACAUAACACAGUGAACACCUCACCUUCUCCAGCUGAUCUGAAAUGCCACUGAUAAGGUACUAAAUGUACAUUUACAUAUGUAGGCUAGGCACUGCUAGAGUCCUGCUCAGGUCAUAGAGCUUCCUUCUGGGAUAUUCUGCUUUGGUUCAUAACAAUUCAUCGUAUAUACGGGCGCUUCAAAAAUUGGUGGAAAGUGGAAUUAAAUGAUAAGUUUUUGAGGUACAAAAAGUGUUGACAUCCACAUAGUUUUUCUUAGUAUGUAUCCUCCAUUAAUGUUUUCAAGCACCUUUGUACUGACACGUGUAUAAUGUGAUGCUAUGGCGUUCUUCAUCAUCAACUGUGGCCAUCAACUGAGUUCUUCACGUAGCUACUAUACUCACUUGAUUAUGUCCCAAACUCAAAAAAAAAAAAUCCUAUUGGCUUGACUUUAAGCUCCUUAAGGAAGUCUGACACUUCCACAGGCUGGCGCUUCCCACCCAAGAACAGGAGUUCUUUCUCCAUUUUUCUUUUACUGGGCUCAGCAAAAUGUUGUGCUUUGUUUCUGUAAAAGUCUUGCACACUCCCGGCCACUUUAUAGUUUCUGCUGUUACUGUGAAAAGGAUAUUCUCCAUCACACGUUCUAACCAGCCACAGCUGGCACCUGAUAGGGUUUUUAUGAGAAACACCAGUGAUUCUUUGAAAACUCUCAACAGGCAUGCACUGUUCCACCUUUAUCAUCACCUGGGCAUUCGGAUUUCCUUACUGACCAUUUGUAGACAAGCGGGGAGAGUCCACAUUCCACACAAGCAGCCUUGAUCCUGAGUGUGCAUCCAGCGUGAUCAAAAGAAUGAAUGUCCAUGUAGCGCUUAAUGCAUUUUAAGCAGACAGGAUUGUCCAGAGUAGCAGAGUCAUUAUUUGUUCAUCUUAAGGAUGGGAGAACCGAGAUUCAGGUCUGACUUUUUGGCCUGGAGAACUUGAUUAAAAAAAAAAAAAAUGCAAACUUGGGGCCCACCCAGAAAGGCUUCUUCAGAA
Oryctolagus cuniculus (rabbit) is the source of this 13011-nucleotide non-coding RNA. The record is from RefSeq and is a predicted model, not a curated record. NCBI's taxonomy places the organism in Eukaryota, Metazoa, Chordata, Mammalia, Lagomorpha, Leporidae.